AGGGCCGCUACUGCAAGUGGGGCUACGGUGGCCGCAGCACGGACUGCUACUGGCACCUGCGCCUCCCUCCGUCAGGAUCCAUCGAUUUGGAUUUGGCUAUGGACGAAUGAGUUUUGGAUUUGCCUUUGCUCCAAUCCGCUACCCGGCAGCGCGCGGAGGGCGAGCGCGAGGUGGAGCGGUGGCGCUGCAUCCGAGCAGCGGCAGCGGCGCACGAAGCAGCAAGAGGAGCAUAUUUUUUCAAUUUUUUUUUGAUUUGUGACGGGGCAACACCGCCGGUUCUGGAACCGGUGGUGAUGGUUUGCACUAUCACCGCUGGGUCUUGAACCGUUGGUGAUGGCCCUCUUCAUCACCAUCGAGUUAAAUCCAACGCCUCCCCAAACCGGCGGUGAUGACUAUUUUCAACCGGCGGUGAUAGGGGUUA
Molecule: long non-coding RNA, 421 nt
Organism: Panicum virgatum (switchgrass)
Lineage: Eukaryota; Viridiplantae; Streptophyta; Magnoliopsida; Poales; Poaceae
Exons: 2
Source: RefSeq, a predicted model, not a curated record